GAUGAACGCUGGCGGCGUGCCUAAUACAUGCAAGUCGAGCGAACAGACGAGGAGCUUGCUCCUCUGACGUUAGCGGCGGACGGGUGAGUAACACGUGGAUAACCUACCUAUAAGACUGGGAUAACUUCGGGAAACCGGAGCUAAUACCGGAUAAUAUAUUGAACCGCAUGGUUCAAUAGUGAAAGACGGUUUUGCUGUCACUUAUAGAUGGAUCCGCGCCGCAUUAGCUAGUUGGUAAGGUAACGGCUUACCAAGGCGACGAUGCGUAGCCGACCUGAGAGGGUGAUCGGCCACACUGGAACUGAGACACGGUCCAGACUCCUACGGGAGGCAGCAGUAGGGAAUAUUCGGCAAAGGGCGAAAGCCUGACGGAGCAACGCCGCGUGAGUGAUGAAGGUCUUCGGAUCGUAAAGCUCUGUUAUUGGGGAAGAAAAAAUGUAGAAGAAAAUAUGCACGUCUUGACGGUACCUAAUCAGAAAGCCACGGCUAACUACGUG
RNAcentral lists this ribosomal RNA (497 nucleotides) under uncultured bacterium. Its description in RNAcentral is "partial 16S ribosomal RNA". It matches the Rfam family "Bacterial small subunit ribosomal RNA", at positions 28 to 507 of the family's 1533-position model. The record is from RNAcentral.